This 2927-nucleotide long non-coding RNA is filed under the name Sus scrofa (pig). RNAcentral describes it as "lncRNA (ENSSSCG00025027054.1)". The record is from RNAcentral. Lineage: Eukaryota; Metazoa; Chordata; Mammalia; Artiodactyla; Suidae.
GUCCUUCUUAAGGCUCUAAGCCUCCUGGUUUUUGCACAGAAGAUGCCUGUUGCCCUGGAUACUUGGUCUCACUCUUCCAGCAGGUAGGGCUCCGAGGAAGAAUGUCCAGCAACACUGAGCCCUCCCCUAUCUUGCCAGGCUUCUGUUGGGUGAUGGAGUUCAUCAAACCGGGGUUCAUCAUAGGAAUGGUGCACAUAUCUGUGAGCUGUGCCUUUGCCCGGAAUGAUAAUAGAGAGAGGCUGGGAGGUUUUUGGAGCAGAACCACGCCAUCGUCUCUCCUGGGACUCCGGCUUGCUGACUGCGGAUCUUGGCACUUGUCAGCUUCCAUAACCGUGCUACCGGACAGACGUGCUGGGGCCCAGGAACUCUACCUCAUGGCUUCUAAGCAGGCAGAUUUGGCCCAGAGGGCAUGCCGCUGCUUCUGAUGACAGGAUGAACCCCGGAAAGCCAUGGGUACCACCUCUAGGGUGGGACAGAGGUAAGCCCAAGGUCAAGUGGAACCGAACCUUUACCUGUAGGACCGAGCCUUUCCCUGAGAGACUGAGUUACCCCAGGGAGACUGCUGGACUAGAGGGGACCAGAAUACCCUCAGCUGCAAGGGAAUCUCAGCCGGCAAUAAAGAGGAGGGAAGGACUGACACACUGCAGCUCAGACAACCUCGAAACCAUCGGGUUGAUGGGAAGCAGCGGGCACUGAAGAGCACGCUUUCAGUUUAUGGCCUUUGGCUGGAGGCAGAGGCUCACUGGAGGAACACCCGUGUCCAAUGGCUUUGUCCGCAAUGAAGAUACUGCUGCCUACAUGGUACGUAUCCUCUUUGUGAGGACUCAGGAAAUGUGCUUUGGCCUUAGGUUCCAAAAUAGUUCUUCUCCAGAACAACCGGUUUACUUUUAUCUCAUAAGCCUUGUAACGUGUGUGAAGGAUCCCUUCCUGCCGGUGUUGAUGGCUAGGUAGCUGAGAGCCAGAUUCAUGAUCUAUCCUGUGUCAUUCCCUUCUCAUUAUUUAAACACACACACACACACACACACACACACACACACACACACGUGCUCCUCUCAUGCCUACCUCCAUUUUCAGUUCCCACCCUACCCUCUUUUUCUUUGUCAUCUGCUUCUGUUUUUUAAUAUCUUGCUGUAUUCUGUGUAUAUUUAUAUAACUGUUCUUGUGUUGAAACAAGGGGGAGCGACAUCGAACCUCCAGAACAAUCUGCCCCCUUGGCUUCAGUUUUCCUGUGCCCGUCUGGACUGUGGCCAGGAGGCGCCUAAGGGUUCCCUCAGACUGUGCAUUCAUGCGCCUCACUUCUGCUAAAGAGAUCUUUGCAAAAGCACCUCCGUUUACAGAUCUUCCACGCCACCCCCUUGGUUUUAAAAAGGGGCCACAUUUCCUAGGUGGGCCUGUGGCUGGUUAGUCGAGCUCUUCCAUCCAGUUGAGCUUCUCUGAGCACACUCCCCUCUGCCACCCCAGCCCUUCCUGUCCCUGUAUUUGUGCACUUUCCCACCCUCUCUCGGCCCCUGCACAGAGCUCUUCCCUCCAGACGCCUGUGUCUUCCACUUGCUCUGACAAAAUCUUGCUUAUCUAGAUGCCCCCACAUCCACGCCCCCAGAAUUCCACAGAGACGCCCCUGCGGUCAAUGGGCCCUUCUUCUCUUGGCCUCAUUGGUCCUUAGUGCUGGGUUUGAUAUAGAGUGAUGCUUGUUGAAUUCAUUUGAGUAUGUUGGCAUCGAUGGCUUAAAAUAAUAGCACCUUUUCCUUCCUUGCCACUAAAUUUGGGACAUUGAAGACGGAUGCUGAGAUCAGACAGAGGAGGGAAUGAGAAUACCAGCUUUAUUGCCAACCCAGUUAGAUCCUGCAGCAUAGACGUUGUCAAACCAGAUUUCCUAGGGGUUUGCUCCAAGACCAUUCGUCGGGAUGAGUCAGCUGGGGACAGUUUGGUUUUACAGAGCAGAUCUAUUUACUGAGGGUCUCUUGCUCACGCCUCAAGGGAGAGACGACCCUUCAGACUCACCCUGCAAGGAGGGCUGGGGCCGGUGCCACAUGUGCUGAGCCGGUGGACACUGAGCUGGGUGGAUAGCAGCUGCUAUGGGGACAGACCAUCCUAGAGAGAUGCCUGGAAGGCCGAAGGCUCUCAUUCAGUUCCUUAUUCCCAAUCCACCUAUCUGGUAAGUUGCUCUUCCACCAAGCGAGGGAACACAGAGGAAGAAAUGUAUCCCCUCCAUACCUCCACGGGAUGGGGUUUCUAUUUUAUGGGCCAAGAUGAUAGAAGAGAAGGAGAGUGUGUUAGGCAAAGUCUUAUAAUUAAGACAAAGCAUUUCUUGAUGAUCUGAGCAGACAUGAAUAUUGGGAUGUACUGAGAAUUAUGAUGCAUCCCAUUGUGUAAGAAAAUGACAUUAUGGACAUGUUAGGGAAAAAAAGAGUCUUUAUCCAUUAGAAAUCACACAGCAAUAUAUAUGGUGGAAUAACAUGGUAUCUUGGGUUUAUUUUAAAAUACUUUAGCCCAAAACAAUUAAACAAAGGUGAAAGGAAGAGCAGAAGUGGUGAAAUAAUUGGAAAAAUAUUAAUGAUUGGUGGCCUGGGUGAUAGGUACACAGGGGUUCAUUAUGCUAUUCUCUUCAAUUUUCUGUACACUGGAAAAUUUCCACAACAAAGUUUUAUAUGAAAGGAUAUGGAGGGGAGUUCCCGUUGUGGCUCAGCAGUAAUGCACCUGACUGGUAUCCAUGAGGAGGCGGGUUCGAUCCCUGGCCCUGCUCAGUGGGUUAAGGAUCCAACCUUGCUGGGAGCUGUGGUGUAAGUCGCAGACUUGGCUUGCAUCCUGCAUUGCUGCAGCUGUGGCAUAGGCUGGCAGCUGCAGCUCUGAUUCAACCCCUAGCCUGGGAACUUCCAUGUGCCACACGUGUGGCCCUAAGAAGCAAAAAAAGAAAAAGAAAAGAAAAA